AGUUACUUGCCGCGUGCUGUCAAGUAAGUUACAACACCCCUCUGAUGCUCUUCCGUAAAAUGAAGCUAACCGUGUAUUAUGGAGAGGAUUACCACCUCACCAUAGACUGUCCUUGCAGAAGAAGCUUCUGCAGUGCCUGAGUCUUUGUAAAAGUGACGUGAAGAGAUUUUCAUGUUGGAAAGAUGACUAACUGCAUCGUAGAAUUAAUGUGAAAGGGUGGCCCAAGGAAGCAAGUUUCUUCACAGCUAUUGCAAUAAACAGGGUCUACUGGAGACCUUGGCUUUUUAUUUCCCUGACACAACUUCACACUGCUGGAGCAAUGCUUGGAUUGCUCUGGAAACACUGGCAAAUCUCAAGAUGCAGUUCAGGCUUCUCCAUGAUGAGUGUGAGUCCCUAGGCUGUCUCUCAAACUAAAGAUUCCCCAGCCAGGCAACUCUAAAGAGUCUUCGACAAGGCAACACAAUUACUCUGUGUGCUUAGAAGAAGAGGGGUCAUAAAUGUCAGCUGUUGCUCUUUGAGUCCUGCUAAUUCAUUCAUUGAUUCACUCAUCUUUCCCACAGGCAUGUGCUGUGCGUUUACUGUACUGCAUGACACUGUGGAGGUUAUAAAGAAAUAAAAUAUUUGGGGCUUACUCUCUAUGAAAUAAAAUUCUAAUUCUUUCUACCAUAUAUUCUUAUGUGAGAUCCCAGCCUGCUCUACCUGGUGCCUGCUCUACCUGUUACCUGGACUAGGGCAUUUCUGUAUCAGAUUAAAUUUAAAGGUGUUUCAAUAGUUAAUAAUGAUCAAACGUUAUAAAUAUUGGGAAACUAUAAUGGAUGAGGUGAAAAAGAAAAGGCCACUAAGUAGAAAAUUAGAUAAAAUAGACAUAUAUAAAAUUAAGUCAUGUGUUAUGGGCUAAACUGUGUCCCCCACAAAAUUCAUGUUGGGGUCAGUACCUCAGAAUGUGUCUGUAUUUGGAGACAGGGCCUUUAUAGAAAUAAUUAAAUUAAAAUGAGGUCACUAGGGUCAGCUCUAAUCCAACAAGAUGGGCAUCCUGAUAGGAAGAGGGAAUUUGGAUACAGAGGGAAGAUUAUAUAAAGACACGGGGAGAGGAUGACCAUCUACAAGACCAAGAGAGAGGCCUGUCCGUAAGAAACCAACCCUCAAGGAGAGAGGCCUUUCUGUAAGAAACCAACCCUGCCAGCACCCAGCUUUUGGAGCUCUAGUCUCCAGAAAUGUGAAAUAAAUUUCUUUUGUUUAAGCCA
Molecule: long non-coding RNA, 1244 nt
Filed under: Homo sapiens (human)
Lineage: Eukaryota; Metazoa; Chordata; Mammalia; Primates; Hominidae
Description: long intergenic non-protein coding RNA 1309
Source: RNAcentral